GGUCCAGUAGCUCAGUGGAAUAGAGCAACUGCCUUCUAAGCAGUCGGUCGAUGGUUCGAAUCCAUCCUGGAUCG
This 74-nucleotide transfer RNA is filed under the name Euryarchaeota archaeon TMED129. Its description in RNAcentral is "tRNA-Arg". It matches the Rfam family "tRNA". Rfam says of the family: Transfer RNA (tRNA) molecules are approximately 80 nucleotides in length. Their secondary structure includes four short double-helical elements and three loops (D, anti-codon, and T loops). The record is from RNAcentral. Lineage: Archaea; Methanobacteriati; Methanobacteriota.